Hyaena hyaena (striped hyena) is the source of this 73-nucleotide non-coding RNA. The record is from the annotation of a RefSeq genome assembly. Lineage: Eukaryota; Metazoa; Chordata; Mammalia; Carnivora; Hyaenidae.
ACCUGGUUGGCUCAGUUGGUAGGGCAUGAGACUGUUAAUCUCAACAUUGUGAGUUCAAGUCUCACGUGGGGCA